UACGGAGGGGGCUAGCGUUGUUCGGAAUUACUGGGCGUAAAGCGCACGUAGGCGGCUUUGUAAGUUAGAGGUGAAAGCCCAGGGCUCAACCCUGGAAUUGCCUUUAAGACUGCAUCGCUUGAAUUGUGGAGAGGUAAGUGGAAUUCCGAGUGUAGAGGUGAAAUUCGUAGAUAUUCGGAAGAACACCGAUGGCGAAGGCAGCACCCUGGACGAGUACUGACGCUGAGGCGCGAAAGCGUGGGGAGCGAACGGG
This 253-nucleotide ribosomal RNA is filed under the name uncultured bacterium. Its description in RNAcentral is "partial 16S ribosomal RNA". It matches the Rfam family "Bacterial small subunit ribosomal RNA", at positions 524 to 776 of the family's 1533-position model. The record is from RNAcentral.